This 209-nucleotide unclassified non-coding RNA is filed under the name Hevea brasiliensis (rubber tree). Lineage: Eukaryota; Viridiplantae; Streptophyta; Magnoliopsida; Malpighiales; Euphorbiaceae. The record is from RNAcentral.
UGAUAAUGUUUGAAUCAACUACAGAACUAUUACAUCAGAAUACAAUAUCAAUAGCCAGUCAAACAUAGUUUGGUAAAGAGUUUAAUGAUUCGACUGCACCUGACAAUCACUGAACCAAAAAAAAGAAAUAUACAAUAUCAAUAAAUGAAAACGGGGUCAGAUCAAAUGCCACUCUUUUUAAUGGAAGGGGGCCAUGACAAUCUUCGAUG